RNAcentral lists this ribosomal RNA (727 nucleotides) under Creaserinus limulus. RNAcentral describes it as "partial 28S large subunit ribosomal RNA". The stretch from base 281 to 727 matches the Rfam family "Eukaryotic large subunit ribosomal RNA", at positions 665 to 896 of the family's 3401-position model. Lineage: Eukaryota; Metazoa; Arthropoda; Malacostraca; Decapoda; Cambaridae. The record is from RNAcentral.
AUGCUUGGGCGUGCCUCCACCCACGCCGGCGUCGGCGGGCGUAUUUCGCCUCACAGUAGGUCGCCGCGACCCGUUGCUUUUGGGGACGUCGAAGGCCCGGACGGAUUGGUACCCUACCGGCUGGGGAUGCGGCUUCGGCUUCUCCUCUUGUCCGGUGGGCGAAACCGCCGGUGUCCUGGCUGCCCUGCGACGGUCGUAGAGACGAGCCCUCCCCUUCGGGGGGGCGGCUCUCGCGGCGUGCAAAAGGUCGGUGAUCCACCCGACCCGUCUUGAAACACGGACCAAGGAGUCUAACAUGUGUGCGAGUCAGUGGGCGCACUAAACCCAGAGGCGUAAUGAAAGUGACACGGGUUCGGCUGUCGCCUCGUGUGGCAGCCGGACUCAGGGCCGAUCCCUCACCGGUUGCCCUCGCCUUCUCUCCCGCGUCUCGGUAAGCCGGGUGAGCUAUUUUCCCCGGCCGCUGCUGCGGGGCGCGGGGGGAGGCGGGGUGCGAUGGUGUCCGUAAAAAAGAGCCUGCUGUUGCAGGGGGGCGCAGGCCCGGGACUUGCCAGGACGCCGCGAGACUGUCACUUUGCUGUGAGGCUCUCGGGCCGAUCAGCGGGUCAUGCGUGCAGUCGGCAAGUACCAUGAGCAGACAUGUUGGGACCCGAAAGAUGGUGAACUAUGCCUGGCCAGGAUGAAGCCAGAGGAAACUCUGGUGGAGGUCCGUAGCGAUUCUGACGUGCAA